UACGGGGGGGGCAAGCGUUGUUCGGAAUUACUGGGCGUAAAGGGCUCGUAGGCGGCCAACUAAGUCAGACGUGAAAUCCCUCGGCUUAACCGGGGAACUGCGUCUGAUACUGGAUGGCUGGAGAUUGGGAGAGGGAUGCGGAAUUCCAGGUGUAGCGGUGAAAUGCGUAGAUAUCUGGAGGAACACCGGUGGCGAAGGCGGCAUCCUGGACCGGUAUUGACGCUGAGGCGCGAAAGCUAGGGGAGCAAACGGG
Molecule: ribosomal RNA, 253 nt
Filed under: uncultured bacterium
Lineage: Bacteria
Description: partial 16S ribosomal RNA
Rfam family: Bacterial small subunit ribosomal RNA
Source: RNAcentral